This 27-nucleotide non-coding RNA is filed under the name Homo sapiens (human). The record is from RNAcentral. Lineage: Eukaryota; Metazoa; Chordata; Mammalia; Primates; Hominidae. RNAcentral also lists the same sequence under 2 other names.
UUCAAAGGCAUUGACAAUCGGACUCAG